RNAcentral lists this ribosomal RNA (158 nucleotides) under Sugiyamaella sp. Y1028-SICYAM2. RNAcentral's name for it is "5.8S rRNA". It matches the Rfam family "5.8S ribosomal RNA". From Rfam's summary of the family: 5.8S ribosomal RNA (5.8S rRNA) is a component of the large subunit of the eukaryotic ribosome. It is transcribed by RNA polymerase I as part of the 45S precursor that also contains 18S and 28S rRNA. Lineage: Eukaryota; Fungi; Ascomycota; Dipodascomycetes; Dipodascales; Trichomonascaceae. The record is from RNAcentral. RNAcentral also lists the same sequence under 1 other name.
AAACUUUUAACAACGGAUCUCUUGGUUCUCGCAUCGAUGAAGAACGCAGCGAAACGCGAUAUGUAAUGUGAAUUGCAGAAUUUUGUGAAUCAUCGAAUCUUUGAACGCACAUUGCGCCCUCUGGUAUUCCGGAGGGCAUACCUGUUUGAGCGUCAGUU